Molecule: unclassified non-coding RNA, 352 nt
Filed under: Hevea brasiliensis (rubber tree)
Lineage: Eukaryota; Viridiplantae; Streptophyta; Magnoliopsida; Malpighiales; Euphorbiaceae
Source: RNAcentral
GCUUUGGAGGCCCAACACUCUAUGAGAAUCCAUUAUACAUAUCACCUAACCAGAUUCGAGCAUUGGAGAAAAGACAGAAGGCUGGGAAGUAUGCGACGAAAGUCAAGGCCAAGAAGAGGAGGAAAAUGCAUGAGAUGUCAAAUCCUUUGGAGCCUGAUGAAUUUGCAGACAUGUGGAGGGAAUGAUUGUUCUUGUUUUUCCCCCAAAUCAGUUUUGUUAGUUUACUUAAGCACAUUGUAUCCAGCAUUAAGUUGGCUUAUUUUUCUGUGUUGUUUGCUUGAACAUUGGAAAAUUUCCUUGUUUGAAUGGUAAUUAAAUUAUAAGUUACAGCAACAUCUGUGUUAUGCAGCAA